This 253-nucleotide ribosomal RNA is filed under the name uncultured bacterium. RNAcentral's name for it is "partial 16S ribosomal RNA". It matches the Rfam family "Bacterial small subunit ribosomal RNA", at positions 524 to 776 of the family's 1533-position model. The record is from RNAcentral.
UACAGAGGGUGCAAGCGUUGUUCGGAAUUAUUGGGCGUAAAGAGCUCGUAGGCGGUCUGUCGCGUCGGCUGUGAAAACUCGGGGCUCAACCCCGAGCCUGCAGUCGAUACGGGCAGACUAGAGUGCUGUAGGGGAGACUGGGAUUCCUGGUGUAGCGGUGAAAUGCGCAGAUAUCAGGAGGAACACCGGUGGCGAAGGCGGGUCUCUGGGCAGUAACUGACGCUGAGGAGCGAAAGCGUGGGGAGCGAACAGG